Molecule: ribosomal RNA, 375 nt
Filed under: uncultured bacterium
Lineage: Bacteria
Description: partial 16S ribosomal RNA
Rfam family: Bacterial small subunit ribosomal RNA
Source: RNAcentral
CCUACGGGAGGCAGCAGUGGGGAAUUUUGGACAAUGGGCGCAAGCCUGAUCCAGCUAUGCCGCGUGUGGGAUGAAGGCCUUCGGGUUGUAAACCACUUUUGUAGAGGACGAAAAGUCUAUUGAUAAUACCGAUAGACAUUGACGGUACUCUAAGAGUAAGCACCGGCUAACUCCGUGCCAGCAGCCGCGGUAAUACGUAGGGUGCGAGCGUUAAUCGGAAUUACUGGGCGUAAAGGGUGUGUAGGCGGUUUUUCAAGUCAGAUGUGAAAUCCCCGGGCUCAACGUGUGAACGGCAUUUAAAACUGGAAAGCUGGAGUGUGUGAGAGGAUAGAGGAAUGCCAGGUGUAGCGGUGAAAUCCGUAGAUAUCUGGCGGA